This 253-nucleotide ribosomal RNA is filed under the name uncultured bacterium. RNAcentral describes it as "partial 16S ribosomal RNA". It matches the Rfam family "Bacterial small subunit ribosomal RNA", at positions 524 to 776 of the family's 1533-position model. The record is from RNAcentral.
UACAGAGGUCCCAAGCGUUGUUCUGAUUCACUGGGCGUAAAGGGUGCGUAGGCGGUCGGGUAAGUCUGAUGUGAAAUCUCACAGCUUAACUGUGAAACUGCAUUGGAUACUAUCCGGCUCGAGGAAUGGAGGGGAGACUGGAAUACUUGGUGUAGCAGUGAAAUGCGUAGAUAUCAAGUGGAACACCAGUGGCGAAGGCGAGUCUCUGGACAUUUCCUGACGCUGAGGCACGAAAGCCAGGGGAGCAAACGGG